CAAGUUGUCUUUGCUUCUCCUAGACGUAUUGGAACGAUACAGAGAAGAUUAGCAUGGUCCCUGCGCAUAUCGUACAAUGAAAUAAGACUUUAAUUAAAUUGAA
RNAcentral lists this small nuclear RNA (103 nucleotides) under Anopheles stephensi (Asian malaria mosquito). Lineage: Eukaryota; Metazoa; Arthropoda; Insecta; Diptera; Culicidae. The record is from RNAcentral.